GGUCCAGACUCCUACGGGAGGCAGCAGUGGGGAAUAUUGCACAAUGGGCGCAAGCCUGAUGCAGCCAUGCCGCGUGUGUGAAGAAGGCCUUCGGGUUGUAAAGCACUUUCAGUCGUGAGGAAGGCGGUGUAGUUAAUAGCUGCAUCGUUUGACGUUAGCGACAGAAGAAGCACCGGCUAACUCCGUGCCAGCAGCCGCGGUAAUACGGAGGGUGCGAGCGUUAAUCGGAAUUACUGGGCGUAAAGCGCAUGCAGGUGGUUUGUUAAGUCAGAUGUGAAAGCCCGGGGCUCAACCUCGGAAUUGCAUUUGAAACUGGCAGACUAGAGUACUGUAGAGGGGGGUAGAAUUUCAGGUGUAGCGGUGAAAUGCGUAGAGAUCUGAAGGAAUACCGGUGGCGAAGGCGGCCCCCUGGACAGAUACUGACACUCAGAUGCGAAAGCGUGGGGAGCAAACAGGAUUAGAUACCCUGGUAGUCCACGCCGUAAACGAUGUCUACUUGGAGGUUGUGGCCUUGAGCCGUGGCUUUCGGAGCUAACGCGUUAAGUAGACCGCCUGGGGAGUACGGUCGCAAGAUUAAAACUCAAAUGAAUUGACGGGGGCCCGCACAAGCGGUGGAGCAUGUGGUUUAAUUCGAUGCAACGCGAAGAACCUUACCUACUCUUGACAUCCAGAGAACUUUCCAGAGAUGGAUUGGUGCCUUCGGGAACUCUGAGACAGGUGCUGCAUGGCUGUCGUCAGCUCGUGUUGUGAAAUGUUGGGUUAAGUCCCGCAACGAGCGCAACCCUUAUCCUUGUUUGCCAGCGAGUAAUGUCGGGAACUCCAGGGAGACUGCCGGUGAUAAACCGGAGGAAGGUGGGGACGACGUCAAGUCAUCAUGGCCCUUACGAGUAGGGCUACACACGUGCUACAAUGGCGCAUACAGAGGGC
This 927-nucleotide ribosomal RNA is filed under the name Vibrio parahaemolyticus. Its description in RNAcentral is "bacterial SSU rRNA". It matches the Rfam family "Bacterial small subunit ribosomal RNA", at positions 328 to 1247 of the family's 1533-position model. Lineage: Bacteria; Pseudomonadati; Pseudomonadota; Gammaproteobacteria; Vibrionales; Vibrionaceae. The record is from RNAcentral.